Molecule: ribosomal RNA, 496 nt
Filed under: uncultured bacterium
Lineage: Bacteria
Description: partial 16S ribosomal RNA
Rfam family: Bacterial small subunit ribosomal RNA
Source: RNAcentral
GAUGAACGCUGGCGGCGUGCCUAAUACAUGCAAGUCGAGCGAACAGACGAGGAGCUUGCUCCUCUGACGUUAGCGGCGGACGGGUGAGUAACACGUGGAUAACCUACCUAUCAGACUGGGAUAACUUCGGGAAACCGGAGCUAAUACCGGAUAAUAUAUUGAACCGCAUUGUUCAAUAGUGAAAGACGGUUUUGCUGUCACUUAUAGAUGGAUCCGCGCCGCAUUAGCUAGUUGGUAAGGUAACGGCUUACCAAGGCGACGAUGCGUAGCCGACCUGAGAGGGUGAUCGGCCACACUGGAACUGAGACACGGUCCAGACUCCUACGGGAGGCAGCAGUAGGGAAUCUUCCGCAAUGGGCGAAAGCCUGAAGGAGAAACGCCGCGUGAGUGAUGAAGGUCUUCGGAUCGUAAAACUCUGUUAUUAGGGAAGAACAAAUGUGUAAGUAACGAUGCACGUCUUGACGGUACCGAAUCAGAAAGCCACGGCUAACUACGU